GACGAACGCUGGCGGCGUGCUUAACACAUGCAAGUCGAACGGAAAGGCCCUGCUUUUGUGGGGUGCUCGAGUGGCGAACGGGUGAGUAACACGUGAGUAACCUGACCUUGACUUUGGGAUAACUUCAGGAAACUGGGGCUAAUACCGGAUAGGAGCUCCUGCUGCAUUGUGGGGGUUGGAAAGUUUCGGCGGUUGGGGAUGGACGCGCGGCUUAUCAGCUUGUUGGUGGGGUAGUGGCUUACCAAGGCUUUGACGGGUAGCCGGCCUGAGAGGGUGACCGGCCACAUUAGGACUGAGAUACGGCCCAGACUCCUACGGGAGGCAGCAGUGGGGAAUAUUGCACAAUGGGCGGAAGCCUGAUGCAGCAACGCCGCGUGCGGGAUGACGGCCUGCGGGUUGUAAACCGCUUUCGCCUGUGACGAAGCGUGAGUGACGGUAAUGGGUAAAGAAGCACCGGCUAACUACGUG
RNAcentral lists this ribosomal RNA (468 nucleotides) under uncultured bacterium. Its description in RNAcentral is "partial 16S ribosomal RNA". It matches the Rfam family "Bacterial small subunit ribosomal RNA", at positions 28 to 507 of the family's 1533-position model. The record is from RNAcentral.